GUGGAAGAAUGACAGGAGCAGGUCGCAAAGGUCCCCUUUCGGUGAAUGCUCGGCCAUCACAAUUUUCAAUUGCCAAGGCAAGCUCAAAACUGUGGACGGUAUAUGCAUAAUGAUUGAGAACCUGAUAUUCUUAAGAUAUCCAACAUUCCAUCUGCAAGAGGAUAUUAAAUUAUGAUUUAGAAACUCAAAUUACGGUGGAUCUGAAAAUCAAACUGUGGAUGGUAUAUGCAUAAUGAUUGAGUACCUGAUAUGCUUAAGAUAUCCAACAUUCCAUCUGCAAGAGGGUAUUAAAUUAUGAUUUAGAAACUCAAAUUACAGUGGAUCUGUAAUGUAUUUUGUUCUCGUUCAUGGAGAAGUUCCAUUUGAC
Molecule: long non-coding RNA, 367 nt
Filed under: Ricinus communis (castor bean)
Lineage: Eukaryota; Viridiplantae; Streptophyta; Magnoliopsida; Malpighiales; Euphorbiaceae
Description: long non-coding RNA (RCOM_LNC002778)
Source: RNAcentral